Pocillopora verrucosa is the source of this 142-nucleotide non-coding RNA. Lineage: Eukaryota; Metazoa; Cnidaria; Anthozoa; Scleractinia; Pocilloporidae. The record is from RefSeq and is a predicted model, not a curated record.
AACCAACACCAACAAGCGGAACUGUUUCCUUCACAGCCAGUGCAGGCCUGAUUGUUUCUCUCGUUAUGGCUUUGUUGCACUAAGCAAGAGGACCUCUCUUUGUGUUUCAAGCCAUGUGGUUUUUUUAUUUCUUAGUAUUGCU